RNA transcript from Sipha flava (yellow sugarcane aphid), 966 nucleotides. RefSeq lists it as uncharacterized. The transcript is spliced from 3 exons. The record is from RefSeq and is a predicted model, not a curated record. NCBI's taxonomy places the organism in Eukaryota, Metazoa, Arthropoda, Insecta, Hemiptera, Aphididae.
AUUAAACAGCACAUAAAAUAUCCGACUCGUUGCAUGUUUAAAAAAUCAUCUACUCAUCAAGCUGCGUGCCAUUGAAGUCGAUCGAACAUGCGCGCGCAUACAUGGCCGGCGUAUACAAAAACGAUGGGAAUAAUAACGAUUGGAGACAAAGACAAGAGAGAAUAAAAUCCGCCGACGUCGAGUGUGAGACUCCAUGUGUUCAAUAUGUGUGUACGAGUAUAUGUCUUUUUUCCAUUGUAAAAACCAUUUCAUUUGGCCAUCACGUACAUGAAGAAAAAAGUAAAGAAUGUCGUCGGAUGUCACGCCGUCUGAAACUGCAUAAUGUCCCUUCGUCGUGUGUUUACUUUCUCCAUGGAGAUACCACAACGGUGUGAUGAUUUUUCAUUUCAACUAAAACGGCAAAUAUGAAAACGAAAGAAACUUUUUUGACAAAAGCUGACAGAGUCUGUUAUUUUUCGAAUACAUUUUAUAUUGUGCUACGGGAGCAGUUUUUCUGUGAAAAAAAAAACACUCGUAAUAUCGGUGAAGUCUUAUUUCAAAUUAAAGUCAAAACAUUGAACACAUCAUUUUUAACAAUUUGGAAAACAAUAAGUCGAAAAAGCUAUAGUGGUAUUAUGAAAACGAAAUCGUACUUCUACAACUGAUUUUUCAAACUUUGAGUAUUGUCCAUGUGAUAUAUUUAGUUUUUUUAAAAAAAUUGCAUAAAAUAUAUAUCAUUAAUCAUAAUAUAUACAACUCAAAACCAUAUAAGACAUUUUGUAUCAAAGCACCACUACUCAGAAAUGUAAACGAGAAUAACCAAAUAUUUAAUGGACAUUUCACCGUUAAUAAUGCGUUUUAUCAUAUAGUUAAUGUUUAAAAAAAAAAAUAAUGUAAGUGGCCAAAUCACCCCGCAGUUGUAUAGAACUUGGUUUCAUUGUGUACAGAAGAAAUGAAGUAUGUUUUAAAUAAAGAAAACCCAUUUUA